RNAcentral lists this unclassified non-coding RNA (106 nucleotides) under uncultured Chaetomella. RNAcentral's name for it is "sequence contains ITS1". The record is from RNAcentral. Lineage: Eukaryota; Fungi; Ascomycota; Leotiomycetes.
CCGAGUUGGCGCAAGCCAAUCUCCCUUUCUUGAUGUAUGACCGGUUGCCUUGCCUUCGGGCAGCAUUAUUCUGAUACUAGUUGUCUGAGUAUACUUUAAUAAAUCA